Molecule: long non-coding RNA, 238 nt
Filed under: Anser brachyrhynchus (Pink-footed goose)
Lineage: Eukaryota; Metazoa; Chordata; Aves; Anseriformes; Anatidae
Description: lncRNA (ENSABRG00000017721.1)
Source: RNAcentral
GUUCACUACUUUGAAAGCAGGACAGGAGAGAAACAGAAAUGAAUUUCUUUAUUGCAAGAAAUCAUGAUUAUUUAUUGAACUGGAAAGCAGGCAGGCCGAUGCUCCAUUGAAUGCUGUGAACAACAUGUUGACAGAAAAAAGGAAUGUGCAAUGGAGAUUGUUAAUAUGGAAAUAUCCUAAGAUACGGCAUGCCAUUUGAGAAAAUAAAUGAAAUAUACUUUGGUAUGGAAGAUAAUUA